Non-coding RNA from Podarcis lilfordi (Lilford's wall lizard), 181 nucleotides. The record is from the annotation of a GenBank genome assembly. Lineage: Eukaryota; Metazoa; Chordata; Lepidosauria; Squamata; Lacertidae.
ACAGGGUGCCAGUGCAGAAUGAUGGGUAAUGCAAGCAGCAGCGAAGGAAACAUCUCCAGACGGGAUCUGCACGCUCCUAUUCGUCAGGAUUUGUUGCUGCCAUUGGCGUACAGCGGAUCCCAUCCAGAGUUGUUUCCUCCGCUGCCGCUUGCAUUCCCCAUCAUUCUGCACUGGCACCCCA